GCAAGUCGAGCGGAAACGACACUAACAAUCCUUCUGGUCCGUUAAGGGCGUCGAGCGGCGGACGGGCGAGUAAUGCCUAGUAAAUUGCCUGGAUGUGGGGGAUAACCAUUGGUAAUGAUGGCUAAUACCGCAUAAUGACUACGGGCCAAAGAGGGGGACCUUCGGACCUCUCGCGUCAAGAUAAGCCUAGGUGGGAUUAGCUAGUUGGUGAGGUAAUGGCUCACCAAGGCGACGAUCCCUAGCUGGUCUGAGAGGAUGAUC
Molecule: ribosomal RNA, 261 nt
Filed under: uncultured bacterium
Lineage: Bacteria
Description: partial 16S ribosomal RNA
Rfam family: Bacterial small subunit ribosomal RNA
Source: RNAcentral